ACAAAUCUCCACCUUUUACAAUAUAAACUCAUCCCAGCUCAACCCCAUUUCCCAUGGAAACAAACAAGAUUACCUUCUCUCAUCAGUGCCUUGUUCCUGAAAAGAUGUUGAUGGCUCUGAUGCAUACUUCUACCACACAUCCUAUAUAUAUAGUUCAACAGAAUGAUACGUUUAUAAAUGUUUCAACUCAGAUAUACAGUGGACAAGCUACGGAGGACAAAAGUCAUUUAUUGUAGGAAACAAAGUGCUCAUGCAUCUGUUAUGAGGGUGUGUAGAAAGUGACACUCAAAUCAUAGUAACAUAUACAGUUCAGCAAAACGAUACUUUAUCAGAUAUUGCCAUUCAGCUAUCUGCUAAUGUAAGUGAUAUAGUAAGGAUCAACAGAAAUUUGAUUCAAAACCCAAAAAUCAUAGAUGUUGGGUGGGUGUUCCAAGGGCAAAAAAGAUGUGACUAAGAUUUUGGUUCAAUCAAGACCUUAUAUCCUAAUUUAUGUAUUUGAAACGUUUGCUUCAUAAUUAUCAAGCUACAACCAAGAAAUGAUACCGUUAAGGUAUUAUGUGUGAGCAAUUUUUUGGGCCUCCAUAUGAAUUACUUCUAAUAUUUGAGCUGUGUACCAUGUUACUUUCAACCGUACAGAACUAUUUAUUUAUUUAUUUGUCUUAAUUACCUUAAAUUGCCAUCUUUAUCUUAAACAUUUUCUUUAAACAUCAUGAGACCUUCAUUUUUAUCAUUCAUGAAAAUCUGUUUCAGCUUCUUGUCUAUCUCCCUUUCCAAUCAUGUGAAACUUACAGGAAGCUUAGCUUUACAUAAACUAAUGCUUUGGGCAAGAGAACUCAAAUGAAACUUAGAAGUGGUAAAAUGAUGUAUCCAAAAUUCCUGUACGCAUGGCAUCUGACAUUACAAAUUUAACACAGCUUCUACGCGUUAACAACCCACUAACAGAAAGAAUUAAUCAUUCAAAAUCGAAAAUCUGGUCAAUUAUUAAAAUCUCUGAGAUUUUAGUUACAUGGAUAAAAGUAAAACUCAAAGGAUAUUUUGUGUAAUUUUCCCAAGAAAAAUUCUAGCAGUCUUAGUUCCAAAGGCAGCAGAUAUCAAACGCUUAAAACAUUCGGUUGGGGUACUACUUAUCUGAUCACCAUAAGUUGUACAAAUGGACAGAUCAACUUAACCUGAGAUCUAACCUCUUUCACUGAUCCUGGUUAAGACAUUGACAAUAAAUAGAAAUUGUCAAAUCAGCCCAUCCAGUGUUGUCUGAACGUCUUGGGCAUUGCAGCUAGAACUUUCAAUCAUUCUCAGACUCUUCAAACAAGCUUAUGCCUACACGUCAUAUAAAGCAUUGAACAUUACUUUUUACUGCUUUAUAUUGUUGUCAAAAAGCAAGCAAAAUACAAAUUUAGGUUUUGGAUUCAAGGAUAUCAUUCCAUGACUUAUCAUCCUCUAGUAUCCAUAACACUAUAUGUAUGAUAUUUAACUAGGUUCCCUUGAUGUGGGGAGGCUUCCCAUAUGUAUUCAUGCUCAAGCAUCUUAAGCUUUUCAAAUUGAAUGUAAAACAACGUAAAAUAUAAAACCCCAAAUAGCACCUUGAAUGAAAUUAAGGUUAGAUACUUCACACCGUGUAUUCAAGCAGAACCCCUUCUCAAGCGAUCAAGGAUCUGCAGUCAUUAACAAAUAGCAACUAUUAUCACUUUGCUAAUAGAAAACAGUCAAAUCAGAUAUAUUCACAACGCACUAGUCAAUAUGUGCACGCAUAGAUACAUAUUUGUGCAAGUUUUCUUGUGAUUAGCAAGAAGGGGCAUUUAGAAAGUGAUAUCAGCUAUUUAUUAAUUGAAGAUAGGCAACAACUACAAUAAUAUGGAUCCUUAGAAGUGAAUCUCCUAAUAUAUCAUCAAGAAAGUGAUAAAAACUUAUAGUCCUACGGACUAUAUGUUGUUCCACACAUUGAUUAGUGUCCUCAAAAAAUUGGAAAAGAAACGAUCUUUCAUGCUAUCACGUAAAAAAGAAGUACAAUGAGGUAGUCAAAAGAAGUUCAUCAACAUACCAUGACAGGAUACUGUAUAACCCAUCCAAAAACUGGAAUCUGACAGAGGAAGACCCUGACAGAAGGCCAAAAGCCACUAAAAGAAGAACAAAAUGCAACAACAGUUAGAAGCAGCAUAAGCAAAUUAUCCUAUUUAAGCUCAUGAUGAGAUGAGAAACUAACCCAAAAAGAACAAUGCAACCAUAUAUCUCCAAGAUUAUACCAACUAUCGGCCAACGAACAAAUAAGAAAAAGAGACCCAGAAGAAAAGAAGCAGAACCCUGCAUAAGAAAGGAGAAGAUUAAAAAAGGAGAGAGAGAGAUGAAAUUACAUAAAUCUACAUCCAAUACGAUACAUUUCAAUUCUUCAAUAUAUAUAAAACAUUUGAGAACAAAGUAGUUCUUGUAAGAACAAGUUAGUGUUAUAUCCUAUGUUAAAUAUGGUUAGACUUUUUAAUGGCCUUAAAUUCAGGUAGCAUUACCAUCUCUUAACAUUUGGUUUUAGGUUCUAUGCUUAACAUGACUUAAAAGCUCAAGUUUCAAUUGCCUGGUUUCAUAGUUCAGAUGAUAACCCUGUUCUUCUUGAUUGUUCUAAUAAGCCCACAUGUGAGAUUGUGUUAUGUAGUGCUCUCACAUCAGUUGCAUUUAGGAGUCUAUAAUGGCCUUUCAUUCAGGUGUACCUCCAAACCUAUAUCUAAUGAUAGGAGCUCUAUUUUCAUUUUGUUUGAGAUUUGUUGUCACUUCAUCUCCAAGUUGACAGUGUUUACCUAUUGUCAAAUGUCAAUAUUUGCUAUCUAUGCAUAGUUCAUAGAUAGUUCUAUUCAUCUCAUUAUUUUAUUCCUUACACAUAAAUAGAAGUUUCAAGAGGGGUUAUAUCCCACAAUGCAAGUUUCAAGUUUCUAAAGUUCUUAUAUUUGGUUGGCCCCUCCAACCCAUAACUAAUUGCUUUUAGGUUUCAACCCCCACUACGUGGUUGGAAGAAGGGAAAAGAAAAAAAAAUGAGUAAGUAUGAGAAAAAGUAGGAAUUAGUUGUUUUUAAGUGCCCAGUAAACCCCCCCCCCCCCCCCCCCCAAAAAAAAAAAAAAGAAGAAAAUUUAAAAGAUAAAAUAAAUUGAAAUGGAGGAGUGGGACACAAAUUUUUUUUAAGAAAGAAAAAUGACUAAUAUAAUCAUAUAUUUAUUUAUUUAUUAUUAUUUUAUUUGGAUUUUAUGUAGUCUUCCAACUAAACUAACAUCUCUCAACUUGUGACACUAACUCAAUCAAUGGCUUCAUAAAUUAGUAUAGAUGCUUAACAAGCAAAACUAUUACUUUCAUGCCAAAUAAAAUACUGCUAAAUGAUCGAUAAAGAUGGAGCUAAGUCCUAAUCUGCCACAAAUACUUGGAUGGCCUUCAUACUCCAUAACAUACACUUCCUUAUCUAGAGGAGACAUCGCAUAUAUUUAUAGAGAAUACAAUUAGUAGAGAAACUUUUGAGGCAUUGAAGCAGGGUUGAAGCAAAUUGGAAAGAGCACCAUGCCUUUUAUCAGCCAAAUUAAAACUAAUACCUAAAGAACGCAAGGCCACUUCCAAAGUCUUGCAUAACAAUAGUAUACAAAGCAACUGCUUAAAAAUGCUGUUAUGAUAGAAGAAACCAAGCAUAAAUGAUACAUCAAGAUGUUCCUAACUUUCAUUAGAAAGCCCAAAAAACAAGGCUUUUACUAAGUGGCCCUAUUGCUAUACAGGUUGAUCUGAAAAACUAAGACUGCAUGAUAAUCUUCAGAUAGGAUAAGGAUUUUCUCAAGUCCACAAACAUGGUGCUCAUGCCACUGAAGGUAUCAAAGACCUUUCAUGAAUGAUUUAUUCCAAAGAAUAAACAUGAAGAAAUUAAAACCAUUGUAAGAAUUAUGGACCUAGUGAUUGGCACAAGGUUUUGGUAUUGGAUACCUUGUAGUUUUUCCUGUUAGUGAAAAGCUGCAAAGUAGAAUACCAACCGAUCAAAAUUGCCACCCCUGCUAAGCAAAAAAUCUGAUUGCAUAAUGUCAGAAAGUUAGAGUACUGAAAUAUAAUAAAAAAAAUUAUCAUAUUAUGUCAUAUAAUCUACAUCAAAAUAUGUAGUUUCUAAAGAAAGCCUUACAUUUCCUAGAGCAAGUAGACCCCUGUCAAAGAAGAGGAUUACACCAAGAAAUGAGAAGAAGAUACCAAAGCCAAUAAGACCCAAGCCAAUCUCUGCAAAAUUAGGCCAAAAUUUCUCAUAUUACAAGCCAAAGUUAAAUUAACUAAUUAAAUAUCUCAAGAGAAAAUAGAAAUAAUUACAGUCAAACAAGUUCAGUGAAAUAUAAAUUUUGUUCAAGUUACAUGGUGAAUUUGAUACCCAAUAAAACUUCACUUCAUGUGUGCUUAUGACCAACUACCCGUCCAUACAUUCAAAACCAGAAGACUGCUCAUAACCCAACAUCAAUGCUUGACACAAUGCAAUCAAAUGUAGGUUCAGUCACUUUAUGACAGCCUACUUUUUUGCAUUCUAAUAAGUUCACAUAAAAUUCAAAGAAACUACAUCGUGCUUAAAUCAUACACUAGGUGAGGUAGUAUGAGAAAUAUAAGUAGAAGAUUCUAUGACAUUGGAAUUUAAGAAAAUGGAAUUUGGAUGUUAAUUUAACUGCAUUUGAAAAGAACCAUAAUUUAAAACAAAACUAUCUUCAUGAAGACAGACAAAUGCUCUUUGGUGAAGCCUGCAUACAUCAAAUACCCAAUCACAUGAUAAUUACAUCCAGUGAAACAAAAUUAUUCUACACAAUUUGCACAUUGGCGCAUGUCUAAUCACUGCAAAAGAUAUAAUGUUUCAAUAAUCCAUAUCAAGCAUGGUAAGGCCACUGUGUGCAAAGUCCAAAUGAGCUCAUAUUUACACAAGAAAACUAUGCUUACUUUUUUGCUCAGUUAUUUCAUACACCAUCUUGAAAUUAUCAGCUGCAAUCCGGAUAGGCGUAAGACCUGUAGGAAGUUCAACUAAUCUACAACAUGAAUGAGAAUUGAAGUAGGAUUCAGGAAAUCAUAUAUUGGCAAUAAAUUAAAACCAUGUUACGACAAAUUUAUGUGUAGUUUUGAGAGUAAGUUGAAUUGAUGUUUAUGAACAAAUCAAAAUCCCCCAUAAUAAUUCAAACAAAUUAACAAGUUACCAAAACAAAUUAUUUAAAAAAUAAAUACAAACAUUUCCUCCUUUAGAUUCACAUGCACAGAAAAAAAUCAUGUAACAAAGAAAAAGAAAAGAAAAGAAAACAAUUCAAGAUAAUAGAAAAAAAAUAUAAAUAUAAACCCAGAAACACUAAAGACUGAUCAAUUGAAAAUCAACGGAAAAAGAGAGUUUACCCUUCAGCAAAGCAAUGAAAGCCGGUCGCUGCUUCCCUGGAAGGCUGAAGCAGAGCUCCGCUACCGAUUGUUUUGACUUCAUUGAAAACGGUCCGUUUAAUGAAUCAUGAACAAUUGCAGGCUUGGGCUUGUAAUUAGAUCCGCUACAAAUGGACCAUUAAUUAAAAGUCCAAAGCCUAGGUUGGGCCUAGAAUCCAAUGUUAAUGCUAGCCCAGUGUUCGGUCAGCUCCUCCAUUGCAAAGAGAAGAAGAAAUCAUGCUAUGACCAUGAACGCUGCCAAAAUCAACAUCAUGUGUCCCAAAAUCAAAGUGAAACUUGCAAUCGCUGCUCAAACACAUUGGUUAAAAGUAUUCAUAAGUACCUGCGCUUUGGGUUUUCGUUAAUUUAGCUUCUUUAUUUUAAAAUUAAUUAAUUUAAUUUUUAUACUUUAAAAUUUUAUACAACUGAAUCUCACUCGUUAAUAUUUUAGUAAUACUGUAAAAUAAAUACUGUAAAUAAUUAUUACUGUACACACUCAACAAUCAUUUUAUCUUAGCUAGAUAAAAAACAUAGUUUAUUUUAUCUAUGAUAACUUUAAAGAUUGAUUUUAGAGUGCUCGUCAGCAAUUAAUUAACAAUGCAUUCCUUUCAACUUCCUAAGGCUAGGGGAUGGAAGUCGGAUAAGAUUUCCAUUCAUUAUAAUUAUUGCUUACUAUAAGUUAAUUUGACAAAUUGUGUUUUUGUAUUUUAAACAUGUUAGAUACGAUUACAUAUGAAACACAUUAAAUUAAAAAUGAAUACGACAUGAAUAAUAUUCGUAUCUUAAAUGUAAAACACGUAUAUAUAUACGUUUAAUAAUCGUAUAACACAACAUGACAUUAUUAACACACUUGUUAAAUGUGUCAAUAUAUGACAUGACAUGAUUAAUAAUAUGAUGAACUCAAUUAAAUAAAAAUAUUUAUAAUUAAAUAUAAUUUUAUUAUUUAAAUUUAAAACUAAUAAUUAUAAAAAUAAUUAUAACCAAAUAAAAUAAUAAUAACAACAUCAAAUAUAACAAAAUAAAAAUUCAAAAUUAGGCUUUGGACAUGGUAUAAUUGCAUUAUUGUUUUUAUAAAAUUUAAAAAACUUAUUAAAAUUAUUAUUUAAAAUUAUUUAAAUAAGGUUAAAACAGUAUUUGAUUAUUAAUUUUAACAAGUUGAUAAGCAUGCCACAUAUACAUGUUUAAAUAUAAUAAUACAAUUAAACACGUAUAUAUAUUUAAAUACAAUAAUACGAUUAAUUAAACGUACUUAAAUGUAUUUUAAACGUGUUACUUGUGUCUGACACAUUAAGAGAUAAAAUACGUUAAAAUUAAAUUCAAACUUAUUUAAUCUCGUAUCUCCUUAUAUCGUAUUAACGUGUUGUGUUCAAAAUUAAUAAAUCUAACUAAACAAAUAUUUGAACCUCUAGUGGAGCUCUAAACCCCAUAAAUAAUGACCAUGAUGUCAGUUUUGCUGGGGGGUUGGUGCAAUGCACCUUGUAAAAGAAGCUUGUUUUUCUUUUAUUGAUUUGUGUACAUAAAAAAAAGGAAAAACAAAAAAAUUGGCUAAAGCCCAAGCUGGGAAGUCAUUAUCAUCAUCAAUAACUUAAUUGAAUCAAAUAUGACUUGAGUAAAAUAGCUCAGUUCAAUUGAUUUAUUGAAUUUAUUGAUUUUAAAAAGUUUCAUCUAAUUGAUUCAUUUAAUCGGUUUUCGAUUUUAAAAUUUUUAAACCGAGCUAAUCAAAAGAUUAAAUUAAUAUUAUAUAUCAUUUUUAUAUUUAUAUAAAAUUUAAAUUUUAAUAUUAAUUUUUAUAUUUAUAUUUUAUAAUUAUGAAUAAAAUUUAUAUAUUUUAAUAUUGUAAUUUAAAAAAAAUGAUCAUUUUGAUCCAAAAUGGAACCAAUUCAUGUUUGAUCCUUUUGAUAUUUUCUUAUAUUUGGUCAAUUUUGAUCAAUUUUUUAAAAAUAUUUGCUUCAGUUUAUUUUUAAAUAUAACGAAUCAAACCGAUCAAACCAUCCAAUUGCUCACUCUCUACUCUCAGGGCAUGCUUAGUUAAGGAAAAUGGAAUAGUCAUUCCUCCUCUAUUCUCAUUAUUGAGAUAAAGCUGUAUUUGGUUCAAUAGAAUGGUUAUUCUUCAGAAUAACCAUUUCAAGAGAAACUUGAAUAGUCAUUACCAAUACCUCUAUUGGUAAUAACUAUUAUAAAUUGUCAAAAAUAAAAAAAGAAGUUGAUUAGACAAAUAUACAUUUUUACAAUUUAAAAAAUUACCUUAUAAAAAAAUACUAAACCUUUUUUUUUUCUCCCUCUUCCUCACUCCUUCUCUCUCUAAAGCACAAAAGACACAAAAUUUUUUACUUCGUUUUCAAAAAAAGAGAAAUGAAAAAAUUUAAAUAUUAUUUAAUAUAUUAAUAUUAUUUCACUAUAAUAAGUAUUAUAAAGUAUAUUACUUAAUAUUAUUAUUUGAAUAUAAUAAAUGCAAUAAAGAAUAUUAUUUAGUAUUAUUUAAAUUUAAUGAAGAAUAUAUUUUAUCUUUAAUAUUAAAUAUUAUUUAAUUAUAAUAAACGGUUUAAUUAUUUUAUAAUAUAAAAUAUUAUUAAAUUAUAAUAAAAAUAUGUUUGUAUUUUGGUGAAAAUAUUAUUUAAUUAUAGUAAAAGUUAUUUUAAUUUUAUUACUCAAAAUACUUUUAUCUUUUAACAAAAUAAAUUCUUUAAUUUUAAUAAAGAGUAUUUAUUUCUCAUAAUAGUUUUUUUAUUUUUAAUUAAAAAAUAUUUAAAUUUUAAUAAAAGGUACUUGUAUCAUUUACUUAUUAUUUUUUAACCAUUUUUAAAAUUAUUCUUACUAACCAAAUAAUGAAAUAAGUAAUAAUAGUAAUUUCUAUCUUAUUUUAUUUUCAUGAACAAUCUACAUAAUAAUUAUUUUUUCUCUAUUAUAUUCUCUUGAAAUGAUGAUUUUAUUUUCAUUUUAUUUUUUUCAAUGAACCAAGCAUGCUAUCAAUCUCAUUGACAGCUGCUUUGACAUAUUCUUCGGAGUGCCAAACUUGUUAUGGUAGAAAAGGGUCCGACCAUGGCAAAUAAGCCUCCUUUAUAAAUUCUCCCAUCCCAUGGAUCAUCAACACCAUUAUAAUAAAUUGUCGCCUAAAGAUAUUUGAGCGGUGGCUUUCUUCAACCAAAUUGGUCAAAGACAUAGGCUGGGUCCGUCUUUGCCAGGAUUUGGGCUUUUCUGGCCUAACUAAAGUUUCUGUCCACUGUAGAGCCCAAAAGAUAUUGGGCUUUAUCUCUCAACUAUUAGUGGAAGAUUGCCCAAAACAUUUGGGCCAAAAAGCAAAAGGGCAAGAAAAUUUGAAUACAGAGUCGCACAACUUGCCUCAAAACUACUUAUAAACCAUAUUCCUCCUUUCCUUCCGUUUCUCCAACUUUCUCUUCUCCCCUUUUUUUGAAUUUGUUUCAAUCAAGAUCAUAUUAUUGCGGCUUUUUUUGGGGGUAGAAGAAAGCUCUUUUGUCAUCGAAAUCAUUGAUUGGUACCUUCUCUCUUUACCCCUUUGUUUAAUUUUCUUUUCCAAAUUUUAUUUUACUAUCAGUUGCAUGAAAUUUUCUAUUGUUAAAUUUAAAUAUCGCUGGGGAAUUGUAAUAAAACCAUAUGAAAAAUGAAUUAAUAAAUGUGGUUUUUCAAUGCUAAUUUGGAUGUUUUAGUUUGCUUGUAAAAACAUUUAGCUAAUUCUGUUUCUUCGCGUCCGUAUUAAUUUUUAUGUUAUUGGCAACGGUGUAAUAUUGGUAAUCUGCUACGUUCAAAGAUAUGGAUGUUACUGUCUUAGGCAUAACCUUUCAAGUUAAAAUGAUCUGCUUCAACUUUUUACUCGCUUUUAGAAUCAAUAUGAAUUUGGGUUGUUGCUUUUGCAAGCAAUUAAUGUCAUUUGAAAGCAUAGGUCUACUGGGGUUGGACUCUUAUUCUAGGUCGACUUAAAAUCCGGAUAGUUUCCGUUAUCAAGUUUAGGUUGCAUCUUGCUUCAGUAACCUCUAUCUAUUACUCUUUUCCUUACUUUGAUGUUUUAGGGUAUAACUGUUUCUGUUACAACAGUUCAUCAUAGGAUCCCGAAGCUUUUAUCUUCUUGAACCUUGGCUUCUUUAGCAUAUUUUUGGUUGUGAGACAUUGGAGAGGAAAUGAAUUUAAAUUACUAGAUAGUAUUAAACUUUAUGUUUAUUAUUGAUUUUAUUUUAAGAAUUUAUCUUGAUCUCAAAUGAGUUGAGUUACAUUAUGGUUUGCUCGGUUGGGGUGCUUAGUUUUCCCAAACAACCAAAUUGAGCAUUAAAAUGAGUACCUGUUAGAAUAGUUAUGUUUGUAUCAUUAGUGUAUGGAGAGAGAAAGAGAUCAGGCAACUCAAUUUCCUUGCUAGUUAUUGCUGUAACAUUCUGAAAUUUUAAUUGAUAUUGAUGUGAGACAAUGUUUUGUAAUAAAAUGUCAAGAUAUUUAUUCCAAGCUAAGCUGUCUAAUUUGAGGAGAUGUAAGCAAUAUUCCUUCCGAUUCUUUGGCCUUAUUCUACAAAUUUGUGGAUCGCUGAUAAGAAGUGGCCUUUUUAAACUUUAAGUAUAGGAGUGAAAAGGUCAAAAGACCUUACAACCUGGAAAUGCAACUUUUAGGUUAAAGAAUCAAUUUGGAAUAAUUUAAAUUGUUUACAAGGUUUAAUAUAGUUCGCAAUCAGCUUUGUUGAACUGUCUUGUGGUUCUUUGGGUUUUGAUUCGGUUUGGUGUUGUGCUGGUACAUAGAUUUUAAGAAUUCUCAGAUUUGAAACGCUAUCUACUUGCUUAAGACAGGUAAAAAUUACAAAAGAAAAAAACUGUUUCUUUCCAACAGAAAAAAGAACAUAAUGAAACUAAGAACUAAGUUGUUGCUGAUGUUUUGUUUUUCCCAAGACACGUUGGGGUGUUGCGGUUUCACCAUCAAAGGAGAAUGAAAAUUUUAAUGGUUAGUUGUAAAAUUUGUUUGUAAGAAUCUUUGUUGUUUUUGUUCGCCGGUCACUUUAACAUAUCCUGUCUUUCACCUAGGAAAGUUUUAUUGUUGUGUGUGUGUGUGUGUUUUUUUGUGGUUAUCUCUUUGUAUAUGCUUUGCUUGCAGUGUAAGAGCUUAUGGGCAUUUUCUGCUUUUAUAUUCUUUUUGGGUUUUUAGAUGGGUUUUCUUUUCUGGGGUAUGCUUGUAUUUUUGUUAUUUAUAGUUGUGCUUUAUAUAUUUGUCUACUUUUUUGAAGGAAGAAUCAUUGGCCGCACUUUCAUUCUUUUUUGGAAGAGAAAGAAGAUAAAGGAUGGGAAGAAGAUUAGGAGUUGGAAGGUCCCCUUCCUCCUCCUCCUCUGUGCUUAACCAAAAGAUUCUCAGCCGUCGACUCUUGUCAUGCCAGCAGUAUGCUGGUUCCACAGUCGAUGAAAUUGUGGAGCUCCUUCAAACUAACUACCCUGAUUACAGACGCAUCAAGAAGCAACCUUUAACCAGGGUGGUCAAACAGGCCCUACAAGCUCUUCAGUCCUCUUCCAAAAACAGCCAAAAGGCCUCUCUUUCCGUUUCUGAUUUCAACUUUGAUGAUGAUGGACACAAUGAACUUGCCAUUGCACCUUUUUCUUCUUCUCCUCCUCCUACCUGUUCUCGGAAGAAGCCAAGGAGAAUGGAUGAGACUGAAGAAAGGUUACAGCGUAUGGAGGAUUUGCACAUUCAAAGGCGACAGAUGCAGCACAACUCCAACUCUGAGUUAGACUCGGAGUCAUCUUCUUCUUCAUCAUCGUCUUCAUCUGAAGAAGAAGAAGAUGGGGCAGUUUCGACUUCGGAAGAUGCCAUUUAUGGCCAAAAAGACGAGCCCAAGUUUGAUUUAAUGAAAUCAAUGCUACGACAAGGUUACACUCAAUCCAACAGCUCAAUAUCAAAGCUUGAAGAAAAAAAUAUUGAAAUGGAGAUUGCAACUAAUAAGCCUAAGAGUAAGAUUGAUAUGACCAAUGCGAACAAAGAGAGUGCUGAAUUGAAAAAGGAAACAAAGGUUUCAGUUUCUGUAGGCGCUGCUGCUGAUGGUGUGGAGGUGAAAGGGAUAGAGGGGCCAAGGUUCAGGGAUUUAGGUGGGAUGGGAGGAGUGUUGGAGGAGUUGAAGAUGGAAGUCAUUGUGCCUCUUUACCAUCCACAUUUGCCACGGUGGUUGGGAGUCAGGCCAAUGGCUGGCAUUUUGCUCCAUGGACCGCCUGGCUGUGGGAAGACCAAAUUGGCCCAUGCCAUUGCCAAUGAGACUGGUGUUCCCUUCUAUAAAAUUUCAGCUACCGAGGUGGUUUCUGGUGUCUCAGGUAUUCGCCUUCUGUUAUAAGUCGUGCUGCUGAAUAUGAUAAUUAGGCUGAGCAUGAUUCUUGAAGUUGUUGUGUAGAGUUUGGAUAAAUGAAAUUAUUUCGUUAACAAUGAUGGGAAGCUUUAGUAAAGGCAAUGUGUUUGCUAAUAGUUUAUAGUUUCAUAUUUAAUUUCUCAGGUGCAUCAGAAGAAAAUAUCAGGGAACUCUUCUCAAAAGCAUACAGGACUGCCCCAUCGAUUGUAUUCAUUGAUGAGAUUGAUGCUAUUGCAUCUAAAAGAGAAAAUCUGCAGAGGGAGAUGGAGCGCCGGAUUGUCACUCAGUUAAUGACUUGUAUGGAUGAGUCUCAUGGACUUGUGCAACCAAGUGAUAAAGAGUCAAAUUUGGAGAGCUCUGAUUCCAAACCUGGUUAUGUCCUUGUAAUUGGAGCUACCAAUAGACCUGACGCUGUUGACCCUGCACUACGGCGGCCUGGACGAUUUGAUCGCGAGAUUGUUCUUGGUGUUCCGGAUGAAAAUGCUAGGCAUGAGAUCCUUUCUGUGCUUACACUAAACCUUAGACUCGAAGGCUCUUUUGAUCUUUGGAAAAUAGCUAGGGCUACACCAGGGUUUGUUGGAGCAGAUUUGGCUGCCUUGGCUAACAAGGCUGGUAAUCUUGCCAUGAAGAGGAUCAUAGACCAAAGAAAGCAUGAGUUUUCUAGAGAAUCUAUAGAUGAGGAACAAGCUGAUGAGUGGUGGAGGCAGCCUUGGUUGCCUGAGGAGAUGGAAAAGCUCACCAUUACCAUGGCUGAUUUUGAGGUAAUUAAAGCUAAACUUUUUUCUUUUCAUUUAUUUAUAUGAUUAAAAGUAACCUGACAUGUAUGCUUAGUGGCUUACAUGUGUUCUAUGCUAUUAUCUGCAUGUCUGUCAAUGCCAUAGAUAUCAAAGUUGUUUGGGAAAUGAAUUUGUAUUGUCAUUUCUAGAUUCAAUUUUACUACUUGCAAGUUUCUCUUUGACUGCUAUGUGAUAUAGUUUAAUUGCCAUGAUUAAGAGUUCUAAUGAACUAUAGAGUUACACUUGAUGUUUUUAUAAUAGUUUGAAACAAAGGUGUUGUUUUUCUGUAUCUGUUAUACAGAAGUAAUUCCUUCACAUUAGAAAGUUUUAUAUGAAACUUAUGCCCUUUGUUUAUGUAUUUGCUUACUUGAUCAUGCCCCUUUCUUUUUCUCUUUUUUAUAAAGAAAUUGAAAAAUGUUUUACCUGCAGGAAGCAGCUAAAAUGGUUCAACCCUCAUCAAGAAGAGAGGGAUUCUCUACAAUUCCAAAUGUUAAGUGGGAGGAUGUUGGUGGUCUUGAUUUCCUAAGGCAGGAAUUUGACCGUUACAUAGUUAGGCGCAUAAAAUUUCCCGAGGAUUAUGCGGUAAUUAUAGAUAGUAGCUACCUCUUUAUUCUCUCUCUCUCUCUCUCUCUCUCUCCUGUUCCAAAAGGGUUAAGAAUAGACAUAAAAAAUAGAAAUGAUUUAAAAGGAGUAGGAUUAGCCUUCUUAACAUGGUAAAUGGAAGGAAGCCAACCAUGGAAAAAUUGGUUAGAAUGUUUGAAACAUGUCUUACAUGGUCUCCAACUUUGUUGACUUGCAAGCUCAGCAUAACUACAAUCUAGGCCCAUAUAUACUUUGUCAGUCAGAUUGCUAUUAUAAAAUGUGCUUUUCAAAUCUUUGAAUUAUUCACAAUGUCAGGAAUUUGGAGUGGACUUGGAGACAGGAUUUUUGCUUUAUGGACCACCAGGCUGUGGUAAAACAUUGAUUGCAAAGGCUGUCGCUAAUGAGGCUGGAGCCAAUUUCAUUCACAUCAAGGUCAGUCUGCAGCGUAUAUUUCCUCUUGAUUCCAAUUUCUUGUUCACUUUUUGUUUGUUAAAGAUGAUGUUAACUGGUACUUCAAUGCUGUAAGCUAAUUUUUCUAUGUUUGUGUUGCAUUAAACUCUUAACGAUUAUGAGUGCACUUGCUGAUUAGGGUCCUGAACUUUUGAAUAAAUAUGUUGGAGAAAGUGAGCUGGCAGUGCGGACAUUAUUCAGCCGUGCUAGGACAUGUUCACCAUGCAUACUUUUUUUUGAUGAGGUUUGUGGUUCUCUAUUUUUCCAUUUCUAAAUGAAAGAAACAAUUCUGGAGAAAAUAUUACUACUCCUAGUGUCUUGAGAUUUGAUAUUUUUGACGUCUUUCUGAUAAUGUGUAGGUGGAUGCUUUGACCACAAAGCGUGGAAAAGAGGGGGGAUGGGUUGUUGAGCGACUUCUGAACCAGGUUAGAUAAUCUAUAAUGGUGAUCUCUUAACAAACUCAUGAUCAACUUUUUUAUCUUGUCUGUAUAACAAAUUUUCAAAUUGCAAAGAAUGACAUGGAAGCAUUGGUCAUAAUUGCAGUUACUGAUAGAGUUAGAUGGUUCGGAUCAGCGGCGUGGAGUAUAUGUUAUUGGUGCCACUAAUAGGUAGAAUCUGUUGUUUCCAGUUUUUGAACGAGGAUCACCGUUUAUCUUUUCUUUACUCUGUUUGGUUUUGGCAGACCUGAGGUGAUGGAUCGUGCUGUCUUACGGCCUGGUAGGUUCGGCAAACUUCUCUAUGUCCCUCUCCCCAAUCCAGUUGAACGUGGGUUGAUCUUGAAAGCUCUUGCUAGGAAGAAGCCAAUAGAUGCCAGUGUCGAUUUGAGUGCCAUUGGACGUAUGGAGGCAUGUGAUAAUUUAAGUGGAGCUGAUCUUUCUGCACUGGUAUGCCCGCAAUUUGUUUUUUUGCUUGAGUGAAAGUUAAAGAUUGAAAACAUCUUCUGAAACCUUUUGUGGGGCUGGGUUUGCUGCAUUGCUUCAUCGGUAUGCUUGGAGAUCAAUGUCCAUUAACUGCCAUUAGGAAACAACUAACAGAAUUUCUUUCUUUCUUUUCUUUUUGCUCCUUUCGACAGUAUCCAACCAUGUAUACAUAGAAGCCUCGUUCUACAUUAAAGUCCUAGAAAGGACUGGUUUUUCCCUGAAAGACUAAUUUACAUUUUUGAUGUUUCCUCAUUAAAUACUAGACAUGUUAAGGCUAGCCCAGAAAGUAAAAUACUUUGCAAAAGAACCCCUGAUCUGUUUCAUGAUUCUAGACUUGAGCUAUGCCCCUUGUGUGCAUUGUACUUCUAGAAGAACUUAAUCAAAAUUGUAAAAAUUUUAAUCAAAAUUGGGCUUGAAAAUAUUCAGAUGAAUGAAGCUGCAAUGGCUGCUUUGGAAGAGAAACUCACAUCAACUGGGAUCUCAGAUACUUCAUGGACAAUCAAGACAUUCCAUUUUGAACGAGCACUGAGUAAAAUCUCACCCUCAGUCUCCGAUAAGGUAUAUUUUACCUUCACUCACUCAAUUAUGGCUUCUGACGAAUAGAUUCUUGAUAGCAUUGACUAUGUAAAUCUGUAAUUACCCUAUUUUUAAUAUCUUGAUCAUCUGGGAACAGCAAAAGCAGUUCUACCAGGCAUUGUCAGAGAGCUUCAAAGCAGCUUGAGAAGAGACAAAUCCCCUUUGUUAUACCAUUAGCAGGAGCUGUAAUUGAUGUCUGAUACUGAGAAUUGCAUUGCAAAGAAGUCAUUCUCAACAUGAAGAUGGGUGUGAAUUGUUCAACUGUACUCUGUUUAUAUGCUUUUUUGGGCCUAAUAUUGAGUGUUGAAGGAAACUUGCUUCUCUCCUCAUGAGCGAAAAAAAUUUUGUUCCGGCACAUUAAGAUUUUGUUAGUGGUGGAAGUAGUUUGCAGAAAAUACAGCGGAGAAACAUGUAUUUAUCCAUUUUAAGAAAUGCAAGGGGACUUGUUGUAUUAGUUCACCCCUUUUGAGUAAAGGUUCCACCUCAUAAACUACCCUUUUUCCUUUGUUUCGAUCAGGAAAAUUGAAGACAAUUUGACUGCUGAAUGUGGCAUUCUUUUCUGCUGUAUGAAGAACUUGAUAUACCUGUGUAGAUUUAGCUCUAUUUUGAAAAGCUUGAUGUGGCUGUAUAAUUGGAAGUCCAAAGCCAAGGUUGGCCCUAGAAUCGAAUGUUAACACCUAGCCCAGUGGUCAGUCAGCUCCUCCAUUGCAAAGAGAAAGAGGAGAAGGAAGAAAUCACGGUAUGACCGUGAAAGCUGCCCAAAUCAACAUCAUGUGUCCCAAAAUCAUGCAAAGUGGAAAUUGCAAUUGCUAGGCAAACAUAAUUGGCCCGCGGCCUCGGCUCACAAGGAACAUGAUGCAUCAUGUUCAGCCAUGAGAUAGAACGUGAUUGUCUCCGGUCAUUUGCUUUGCUCCAUUAUUGCAUACGUGAUGUGAUGGCUGCCUUCGCAAUUAAUGUAACACUUUUUUUGUUUUAGGUAUUCAAAUGGUACAUUAUAAUUUUUUUAAAUAAUUAAAUAAUUAAUUCCUAAACAAUAAUCAUUCCAUCACUUUUUAAUUUUAUGAUACUAAAUUUAAUAUCACAUCAAUACAAUAAAUUAUCAUAUCAAUAUAAAUAGUGAAAAUUUUUACUACGUUAAUGAUUGGAUUGAUAUUAUUAAUUUUAAAAAAUAUAAAAAUUCAACUUUUACAAACUAUUAUAUAAAAAUUAAAUCUACUACUUUAACAACAUACAAGAACUAAUUACGUUAUUUGACGUUUUUUUACUCAUAUAUAAAUUGAGAUUAUAAAAAUAAAAAUAAUGCUUUCUUAUUUCAAGAUUCAAAAAUGAGAUUUUUAAAUCAUAAAUAUCUCGUUGAAAAUUAACAUUACAAAUUGACCCUAAUAUUUGUCCUUCUCUCUUGACUCAGAGUAAGGGUGGAUCCAUGUUGACACAAGUGAUGUCAUAUGACACCAUUGAAAUGUUAAAAAUUUAUACUAAUUACAUUACUUAUAUCAAAGUUUUUAUAUAAUUAAUAAUAUUAAUACACUUAUUAAUUAUUUUAAUUAUUAAUAUUAUUAUUUUAAUUAUGAUACUAUCCGCGUUUCUUACUGGAAAUGAGAGAAAUCUUUCGAAUACAGCAAAAGUUCUCAUAAUGAAACCCAGCCCCACGACCAUGACAGGUAUAAGCAAAACAACCCACUUGUCCGGCUCAUUUAGCUGAUUUAGACAGAAAGAGCGGACACCUGCCCUCCCUACGAGAUACCAACUGCUCAGAAUUCAGAACUUGUUCAAGAACUGACCUUCCCAGAACUUGCAAAACCCAGAUACUUACUGUCCCAAAAGACACAUGACCCUCUAAAAAUGUGACAAGUUGACUCUAUUGUUGGGGCAAUUAAAUGUUGCCCACUCCACCUGUCAGUAUAAAUACAAAGAGACAAACAACCACACUGAUUCCAUACUUAAAUUGGAUGGUAGCUUCAUAAUCAAGUGAAGGAUUUGUUUAAACCCUGCAACGAAAACACAGAAGAAAAAUGAUCUUAUUAUAGACUGAAAUUUUUGAAUUUGACCAAUGUGUAAGAUUGUCACAUAUUUAUUAAAUUAUAGUUAACAUAUCAAUAAAUUAAACUAAUUACUAAAUAGAUACGAACUAAAAUUUUCACUAUCAUCUAUCGAUGUAUCAAAAUAAUAAUUCAAAAUAUAAUAUCUCUAAUGAUUCAGUUAUACACACAACCAGACGGCAUUCCAUCGAAAAGGAAAAAUAAAGGAUAUGUUUUGUCCUAGAUAUGAACUAAUCUUAACAUUUCUUAUUUGGAUUCCAUGUGACAUAAGAUGAGUCAAAAUAAUUAUAUUACUUGGGAAAUUAAAUGCUUGGACUUUCUGAGACAGGACAUUGGAAUAAACCAAGAGGCUCAUGAGCUCUCGAGUCCUCCAUGAAUGAAUGGUUUGCAAAACGCCAAAUGUUUAGGUCCAGGCCAGCAGGCUGCCUGCUACCAUGGAACUCCUAUUUUGACUGCUUAAUAUAUUCUAUUUACUAUAAACUUUUUGCCAUUCAAAAAGUUCCUUAAGCUUGAAUGAGUUACAUCUUCUACAAUUUGGACAAUAAAAAUGAAUGUUCAGAAUUUCGAGUUUAGAAAGAGAUUAUCUCUUAUUACGUGAAUUCUAAUGGGUCUCGAUGUAUAAUUAAAUAUCACAUAGUUUUAAGUUACAAAUUUGAGCUUAAAAAAAUUAAUGAAAAGUUAAAGAGAGAAAAACAUUGGAAGAUGGGCAGAGUGAUGAUGAAGACUUUUGAUUAAUUAUUAGUUGAAAAAGUCCAAAAGAGUGAGGUCCCAGCAGGAGCGUACUGCUGGGGCAAGGAUAAUAUUGUUUUGCCAUUAUGCGUAUUGGCCUUAUAAUUUUCCCAAGUCACAAUCGUACGUCUCCUAACGCUAGUUCACUGCCAGCAUUGGAAGAUUGGAAGUUUCGCUGUCAGGGCCAUGGCUGCCUUUUCACUCAGCUGGCCGGUCUGAUAUUUUGUUAUUUAUUUCCCAAUUUUAUCUCUAUAUAUCUCACAUGUUAGAUUGAUUCCCCAUGAAGCUAAUGCUUGUAAGGGAUGCCAUACACGACUUUCUUCUUUAAGUAAAGCAUUAUCACAUAAAAAUAUGGGGAAAUGGUUGCUAUCUUCUUGUAUGUUUUGGUUGAGGCCCAAAUUAAGUUGAUAAUUACCUUUGUCUUAAUUUCAGAAUUAGUAAUGUUGGGAAAACAGAAAGAGAACAAUGGAUUGUUUUUGGAUGAAUUGUUGAAUGUCGGUAACUAUAAAUUUGUGAAAGUUGUAGUUGUGGAAUUAUAAAGGGCUCUAAAAGUCGUCCAAACUUAUUUAGUUACCAAUUAAUAUUAGUGGAACCCUACUUGACAAGAUGCUAUGAAUGACUUGCAAUUGUCUGGGUCUUAUACACUAAGUUGAACGCUGAGGUGCCCACAGAUUUAAGUCUAAAGCUAAAUUAGUCUAAAGCUAUGCUGAGUUUGGGGUCCACCCCAAAUUAGUAAAAAUUAGUAAAAACUCUCUAAAUAGACGAAAUCUGGCCUACUUUUAAUCUUUUUUAUAUGGUAGAAAUGUAUUAAGAGAGGGAAAAAAAAGAGAGAAAAACAUGAAUUUUUACAACAACUUAUUUAAAAAAAAUGAUGUUAUGAUAUUUAGAUCAUACGUACAUAAACGCAUAAAAUGACACUUUAAUGAUUAAAAUUAAAAAUUUUCAAUUCAAAUUCUAUGAUAAAAUUUAUAUUUUAUCAUAUGUAUAAAAUUUGAGAUAUAUAAAUUUAUAAUUUUAUAUGAUUACUCUUUAAUUACUUUUUUCACAAAAUUUUAAACCCAUCUCAAGAGAAGAUUAACUGUUUAUAUAAUCCUGAAUUAUAUGUGCUACAGAGGGUGCGGGUGAAACAAGAGCAGCGCAAUGAGAAGGCAAAAUUGAAGUAGACUUCUCUCUCUUAUAGAAAAGGAGGAGAAGCCACCGAACACGUGCUCAGUAAUUGGCUGUCCUUUCUCUCGUAAAUGACCCCAAUGCCACAUGCAAGUCUUUGCCCAAUUUUUGUUGUUUAACAAUCCCAAUAGUCCCCCAUGAUAGCAAUGGCCAAAGCGAUCAACGUCACCACUUGUAAUUCACAAAGGAGUUUACAUGCAUCGCCACCUCCAUUUUCGUCUUGCUUUUCCUCCCUGUACAAUUUUGGAGGUUGUAAAAAUCACUUCCUUUCAAGUACAAGGCGUGGAAGAUAAGUCUUUGCAAAUUUUUUAUUUCUUUGGUUUUUUGUACGAUGGAUAAGGUUUGCAUAAUUCUUUAAUUGCUCCUUUGCUACACUAUAGUUGGUUGUUGGCUUGUUGCUAAUCAUCCCUCUAAUCUUACAAAAAAUUAUUGAACACACAUCAUGAAAACUACGGAGUACGGACAAAUUUUCUUUAAUUUUUAACUUCAAGAAAGUUCACAUAUAUUAUAUAGAAAUUUUCUGUCAAAUCUUGAUACAUCACUCACUUAUGUAAAAAAAUUUGGUUAACUGACGGAGGUCUAUAGGCAUUGGCUGAAGAUAGUUUUAAAAAAAUUCAAUUAAUAUGAUAUUUUCGUCAGAUUCAUGAUGGAAAAUGCAUUAGUUAUAAUUUUUUUUUAAAAAAAAAUAUUACAUUAGUUGGUGCCAAGAGGAAUCUAUUACUAUUUUUCAUAAAAUUUUUGCUCUUAUAGUGACAUCUUAAAAAAAUUGAAUCACAUAGAAAUGUACUCCUUGUGGUACUGUCAAGUUCAGUGUUGACAAUUCAAUGAAGUGCAGCCCAAGAGAGACAGGAAUUGGUGACCGGCUUCACAAUUCAAUGAAAACCUAUUGGUUAUGUUGAUUCAAACCUUAUUGAGUUACUUGCUACUAUAGAAGUUUUUGUUAUUCUUGUUGUUUUUAAAUGAGACAAUUUUUAUCUUAAUUGAUUGAAAAUGAUUAAUCAAAUGCAGUUGACUGAAUGUUAAACUCCCAAACUUUUUUUUGGAGUCUAGAAAUUUUCUCCUACAAAUUAAAUAUUUAAAAUAUCAGAUGAAUAGUUGAAAAAUACAACAUAUUUUCUUAAUUGCAAGUAAAUUGACUGAUGGCUUAUUAUGACACUCUUCGUCAACAAAAGUUGUUGAUGGUGAUUAGUUAAAUUGUUGAUAUAUAUACGUAUUAGAAAUUUUUGUAAUUGUUUUGUUCUUAUUAAUUAUGUACUGGUUUGCUCCAAUACAUAUUAAUAAAGAAUCAUAUGCUUUUCCACACAAAAAAAAAAAAGGGUCAAUUACAAAAAUAUGUAUGAAUUAGGGUAAAUUACAUGCAUAAAGUUCUUGCAAAGUUAACAAGCAAAACAAAUGACUUUUUUGGAAACCUUUCAUUUAGAGAUGUAACUAUCAGCUAGAAAAUUCCAUAGUGACAUUCGAACAUCGUUAUCCUCUUCUCCAUUUCUUCUUUUAUUGAUCCGUUUGAUUAAAAUGUUUUGCAUGUGGCUAGGCAUGUAAGGUGAAAAGAAGGUUUGAACUGAUAUCACGAGAAUGUAGACAAAGUCUAUAUGGCCGUUUCGUCAUGUUGAAACUAGGGCUACGUUCUACAUUUUUUUAUUCCUAAGUAACUCUUUUGACAUGAGAAGGGUUGACAAAGCAUGCUGUUGAAAAUUGACAUGGAAGUAAUCGAUAAUUGAUAUUGAACAACUGUCGGUGAGAAACAAGGAAUAUUGUGAUAUAUAUAUAUAUACAUAUGGAGGAUCCUAUGACAAGGUAAAUUGUUAAUUUUCUUGCCCAAGGCCAAUGGUCAAGAAAACAAGUGUUUCUGUUGAUAUAGAAAGCCACUCACGUCAAUUCGUCCUUCAUUUUGUUUUUUUUUUUUGGGGUUAGUUUUCUGAUUAUUUUUAUUACAUAUAUAAAAGCAGCAAAACUCAUAAUUAAGAAGCACAAGCCGAGCAAUUAAUCUCUGAAAAUAGAUUUAAGGAUUUGUAUUUUCGUAUCUUAAUUUGUGUCUUAUAAAACAUAAAUUAUUAACAAUUAUAUAAAUAAAUACAAAUACAAAAUGAUUAAUUAAUUUUUUUAAUUUUUUUUAAAAUAUAUAUAUUAAAUUGUCAAAUUUUAAAUCAUAUCGAUACAAUUAAUACACAAAAUAAAAUUAAUUUAAUCAAAAUCCGUUUAAAUAUGUGUCAUGAACUUACGCAAAAUUGUCAAAGACUACCUAAAACCAUAAUGACAGCUCUCUCGCGUCAGGUUAACCACUAGAUUAGAAGAGGGUUCGCAUCAGAGACAAGUUAAUCCGUACAGGAAUUAGCUUCACAAAAAAACAUGCUUCAGUUCACAUUGCCACUCCUAGAAAGAGGAAAGCUAUGGAGAUGGUUGUUAAUUUCAUCAGAAGAUAAAACAAGUAAUUCGGGACAAAAUAUACAGAGAGAGAGAGAGAAUUCGGAUGAUAUAUGAAAUUUAAUAGUAAAAAAUAUUCCUUCUAAUUGAAAGACAUAAAUAGAUCAAGUAAAAGCGACAAUAGCUUAAUUCUCAAGAGCCCACAACGUGCAAGACCAAAUCUACAGAAGACAAAGACGUGACGAAGAUUUUCUCCAUGAUUUUUCAAUAAUUUCAAAUAUAGCUAUAAUUAGGGUGGAGUGACUGUUAACAGCCAUAGACUUUUUUUAAGCAAAUUUGACAAAAAUCAUAAAUGAAAAAAAUUUAAUUAGGCUUAACUUGCUGCCAGCUACUAGUUAUGAAUCACACGAAAGACUGACAGUGAUAUCAACUUUUUUUUUAAAAUAUAUAUUUUUUUUAAUUUUCAAGUUGGAUAAGUUUCGAAGUGUGACCAAGUGUCCAAACUUUGGCCAAAAGCCUUCACUUCGCUGGACUGUCGUUUUCCUUAUUUUGGCCUUGGGGUUGGUGGCAUGUUGAUCAUCGAAGCUUAAUUUUCAGGUCAAAAAAUGUGCAUACAUUCUCUCCUUGCCAGAUGCCCAUGUCCCAAAACUAUUAAUUAAUUCUCUAACAAAGGACAUUAUCCCUUUCUUUUGCCUUUUCUUUCUUAAUUUUGUUGUUUAAAGUAAACAUGACUUACCUAAUCAGUAAUCCUAGUCUACAUUGAGUUCCUGCUGAACUUACUGUACUUACGUGUUCACCGAGACAAAAGUCAAUUCAAAAGGCAAAAUAUUUUUAAAAAUUUAAAUAAAAUUUAAUUAUUUUAUUAUAUUUAAUUAAAAUUUUAUAUUUUUAUUUUAAAUUAAAUAAAUUUUUAUAAUUAACAGUUGAUUCAUUCUAACCCAUAAGAUAUAAAUGAUAAAUAAAUUUUAAUUACCAACCGUUCGUUAAUGUUAGUUAUAGGAAUUUUAUUGAUCGAUAAUAAAAAUAUAAAAAUUUAAUUGAAGAUAAUAAAAUAAUAAAAAUAAUUUAAAUUUUCAUAAAUGAUUUAAGAAUUUUUUUUAAAUAUUAUGUCUUAUCUUAAUGAAUUUUUUGUUGUGAAUUUAUAAGUUACCAAAAAAAUUGUAUAAAAAGUGCACUACAUUAAUAAGUAUCUAUUCCAUUUAAAUUUUAAUGACAUACAUUCAUAUAUCGUUUUAAAUGAUAUAAUAAUUCAAAGAAAAUGUAACAGAUCAAUCUCUUUAAUUAAUCAACACAAAAUUUUUUAUAUUAAAGGCUAGAUCCAGAAGGUCUUAAAAAAGGACAAUUUAAUGUCAAGAUUUUAAGGCAGAAUCAUAGAAAUCUUGAACGUGUAUAUCAAGAAAUAAAAAUCUAGCAAUACUUUUAAAACGUGCACCUCAUACAGCUGCCCAAUAUAAACCCUAUUUCUCGUAUUUAAAAACUUCACACAAAACCUCAAAUUUAUUUAUUUUUCUUUAUUUUUUGCUGUAAUCCAUGCUGAAGAUAUUAUUAUGCAUAUACUAAUAUAUUACCAGGAAUACAGCAUUGUCGGUCAUUAAACAAAAAAAAAAUUGAAGGGAUUAAAAGCCACCUCCCCCACAUUGCAAAGUGUAAUUAAUUGCAUGUACAAUUAAAAGAAGGACAAAUUGGGAAACAAUGAAUAAAACAAUAAACUUUAUAUUAUAUGGCCGAUUUAUUAGCUGUUAGCGGCGGCUGGCUCUUUUGGCUGGGCAUGCCAAUUAUGUGCAUCCAGUCAAUAUGAAAGGAAAUGGGAUCAAUACCCAUUAAUGAAUAAGGUAUCAACAUUUUUUUUAUGAUAAUUAAUUUGAUGCAUUUUUCUUUGGUUGUACUUGGAAAAUUGUUCUCUUCUGGCACGUUCUAGGAAAAACAGUAACCAUUGGAUUCAAAUUGGAUAAAUAAACUUUCUCUAAUCCCCACCAAAAUGUUGUUUAGGUUAGUGAUUUUAGAACAUAAUUAGGUUAAAUAUAAUACUAAAUUUUGUGAUGGAUGACACUUUAAAUUGCAAUCAAACUAAUUGAUUGAACUCGAAUUCCCUCUUCUCAAUCGAAAAAAUAAAUAAAUAAAAUAAAAAUGUGAUGCGAUGAAACGAAAUUAAUAAGUGUCAUUAAUCAAAGGCAAAAAUCGUAUCGAAGAUCACUGCCAUGCAUGUGAGUAGUCGUGGGGGACAAUGCUUAAUUGAUUUGAUGCUGAUAUGUCGAUCCAUCAAGGGCCAAUAAUAUUCCUUUGAAUUAUUAUUGUUUAAUGAUUGUUUUAAUUAAACGUUAAUUCAUCGAGAAAGCAAUAAACGUGGAGGGUCACAUAGUUUUGUCCUGUUUGUUUUACGAGAAAAUUUUUGCUGUCCUCUUAUAAGCACAUGAGUUUAAAUACUUGUUUGGAACAAAUGGGAAGACCCAAAACAGCUUCUUCCAUGUUUGCAUCGGCAUCAAUAAAUCAAGGAGGUUUAGCCUUAAUAGCUAAUAGACCAAUCAAAGAUACAUCAAAGACUAUAAACAGUUGAUAUGAUUAUUCAAAGACCAAAGCCAAUAAUUGUUUCUAUUGACAAAUAGCUCUCUUUCCAUGUAAACCAAUGAUUUCUACUUAAAUACAGCUCACGUAUACAUAGAAAACUAUGCAUCAAACGUUUAUUUUACAUCUUAAAUUGGAGAGAAUCUCUUUAUCAUCAAGUUGAUCUCAACCGUACACCAGUUGAGCUAAGCCUGAGGAUUAAUAAUUCUGCAGUGUCCUUGACUUCUGGAAGCUCAUGAUAAAUAAAAACAAAAAUCAUUCCAGAGCAUAGAAGCUGCCAGAAGAUGAUUCACACAGGGGCCGGUCACUUUGUAAAGUGCAAACAGUACGUCAUGAUGUAAUAAAAACCCCAAAAUUGCUUAGAACAAGAUGUGCAGAAAGGGCUAGAACUGAUUCAUGAUACAUUUUGCAGAAAGGAAAGAAAAAAGGGGGAAGAAGAACCCGACAGUGUUAGGUGAGGAUCACUUGAGUGUUUAAUUAUACAAGCUGUGCCAAGUGGCUACCCAAAAUUGAAAUGUUAGUGAGGAGAACUUAGAUGUAAGUGGUCCUUUGAUGACUUCAACAUGGAUAGUUACUAAAUUUUGUAGUCUUUCUUUAUAUUUGCCCCUUGGUUACUCCAUGAAUCCUACAUUAUAAGCAUUUGAAAAGGACAAGUUUUCCACCAUUUUAAUUCCUCCAUUCUACUGUUUUCUUUUUUUCCUCUUGUUUACUGUCUUCCACUAACCUAGCCUGUAUACCCUGUCUGUUCUUUCUAAUCCUUCCUCCAAAGGCAAUCAUAACAAAAAGUAGAAGCAAAAUUAUAUAAGAUAAUGUUUCCAUAUUCCUUUACCCUUUGGCCCCAACAACUCAACUCUACCUUUAACACACUCUGAAUUAGACUUUUCAAUGGUGUUACUUUACACGGCAUUGACUGUGUUAUAGAAAAACAGGGGAGAUAUGAUCUUAGGAUAUGAAAAAAAUGGCUUGAUUUGCUUCUCUCUCUUUUUUUCUUUUAUUUGUUCUCGACAAAGGGGGAUUUUAUUUAUGAAUGACAUGACUGACUUGAUCUAGAUUUGUGUCCUAACCACAUUACUUUAAAAAAAAAUUAGGCUUAAUUACUGUGACAGAGCAUUAAUUGUCCAAUUUCUUCAUUAUCAUAUUGAUCACAAUCUGACAGCUAAUUUAUGCAACAAUUAAAACUAGUUGAGAGUACCCUGAGAAGUUGACUUUCAGGCUCAUGAGGCCUGCAUUUUUCACAAUCUAGAUAGAAAUUAAGAAAAAAAAAAUUGGAGAUAUAUGGAGUAUUACAUAUAUGCUUUGUCUCAAAAUACAAGAAAUCGAUUAAUCUAUCUAUCAAAAAUGGAUUUGAAUUUGUCAAAAUACUGAUAUAAAUGACACUAAACACAAAACCCAGAAUAAAUUUAUGGAAUUGAAGUAAAUUUGAACAGGUUUUUGAGGGUGGUCCAAAAAGAGGAAGUAGCUGAUUAUAGGACAGCGGGGACAAGGCUGCUCGUGUUCUGAGAAACUUGAAUUAUUAUUUCUUGCACGAAAAUGAAAUUCAACUCAACAUAAAGUAUUAUUUCAUUUUUUUUCUCUCUCUCUCUUUUAACAACUUUUUUUUUUGUUUCUCUUUGGUGUGUAGCUUAAAUUUCCUGCAAAAGCUGCGGGGCCACCUGAUUCAAUUUCACAUGCCCCUGCGUCAUGAUUGAGAAAUCACAUGGAACAUGAGAAACCGAUAGAAAAAUUUAAAGCCUUCCAAUCAGUGAAUGGAGGGUGGGUAUAGACGUGCCAUUGUUUGCCAUAAACGUGCAUGUUUUGAUGAAUAAAAAAAAUUAGCCAGAAAUUGCACCGAAACCAGAAAAAAAUUCUAGAUAAUAACAGAACAGGUGGCCUGAAUCAUAGCUCUUCUGUAAUUUACUUGCAUGGUAAUAUGAACUGUCCGUCUUCCGACUUCGAUCCCUAUAUUCUGCUUCGGAUUUAUAGAGUUUUGGGGUUUUAUACAUUUUUGUGAACAAGGAUUUGGUGACUUUUCUGACAUCAUUGUUGAAAUUUGAUAUUCAUCAGAGGUUAAAAACUGAAAAAGGAAUAUUGGAAGCUGUCCAUGUGCAUGAAGGUAGGAUUAGCCGUUGGAUAAUGAAGGAAUAGACAUGAUCAAAAGGGUAGGAAUGUGCCACGAUUUACCUCAGCAAAUUCGUGGUCAAGUCAGUAUAGAAUUCCAGGCCAUCGUAGGCAAAUAAGCAGCGGCAGCAGCAAGCAGCCCUCUUUUUUUUUUUUUUUUUUCUGUUUUUCUACAUUUACUUUUGUUUCGUUUUUUCGUCAAGUUGUUGGGGGAUUUUUGAAUUAUUCUAUGGCUCUUACUGUUCCUGAAAAGAUGGUGGAAAUGGGAAAUUAAUAGACAAGAAAGAAUUGAAAAUAGAGAGGUGGAAGUGUUAAAUAAAUGAGCCCAGGUAAAUAGUAAUUUGAAAGAUAAAAAGUUGUUUAUACUUACUAUUAUACGAUGUUACAUUAAAUGAGCAGUUGGAGAUUUGUUCUGGGGUGAUCAUGGGGGAGGAAUCCUGAUGAUCUAAACCAGAACCUGAAUAAAAAAUUGAUCUAAGCCAGCUACAGAAAACCCCAUUUGCUACAUUAAUCUAAUCAAUCAAUAUUGAAUUGGUCCCUUCUGACAGCUCCCCAUCAACGACUACUUUCUGCUAUAUAUAAUCUCCGUUUCAUGCAGGCUUUUAUCUCAGCCGACACCCACCAAAAACAAAACCACCUUCGCCCCCCUCCCUCCUUCCUUUUCUCUUCCGAACAGGGAAACUCCUGCACAUUGCCAGAGGGUGGUGUUCCUCAGUGAUCAUCGAUGACAGGUCCGCGGGCCGACCCGGUGAGGGGUCGGUUUUGGCCCCAAGUGUUAGUGGCCUUGGCCAUUGUUGUUGUUGCAAGCAAUGUAGGUUCAGUGUCUGCAGAUGCUUAUCCAUACUCAUCACCUCCUCCACCUUAUGAGUACAAGUCACCUCCACCGCCAUCUCCUUCUCCACCACCACCAUAUGAGUAUAAAUCUCCACCACCACCACCACCUUAUGAGUACAAGUCCCCACCUCCACCAUCUCCAUCACCACCUCCUCCAUACCACUACCACUCUCCACCACCACCAAAGCAUGAAGAAAAACCCCCGUACUACUACAAAUCUCCACCACCUCCAUCCCCAUCCCCACCUCCUCCAUACUAUUACGAGUCUCCACCACCACCAAAACAUGAAGAAAAACCACCAUACUACUACAAGUCUCCUCCACCUCCAUCUCCAUCACCACCUCCUCCAUACUACUACAAGUCUCCACCACCACCAAAACAUGAAGAAAAACCCCCAUACUACUACAAGUCUCCUCCACCUCCAGUAAAGCCUCCACCAAAACCAUAUUAUUAUAAAUCUCCUCCACCACCAUCUCCUUCACCACCUCCACCUUACUACUAUAAGUCUCCACCACCACCUUCACCAUCUCCUCGACCUCCUUACUACUACAAGUCUCCACCACCUCCUCCACAUUACGUCUCACCACCAUACUAUUAUAAAUCUCCACCACCACCAGCUAAAUCUCCUCCUUACUACUACAAUUCUCCCCCACCACCAGCUCCUUAUUACCCUGCCCCUCACCCUUAUCCCCACCACCAUCCACUCAUAGUCAAGGUGGUUGGUAAAGUUUACUGCUACAGAUGCUAUGACUGGGGAUAUCCAGUGAAGUCACACGACAAGAAACAUCUUAAAGGUAAAAUUCUUUCAACUUUCCCAAUUUUCUAGCACUAUCAAACCUUAGUUCAUUAUCAUUCACCACAAAAAAAAAAAGCAAAAACAUUUUAGAUCAUUCUUAUUUCACAUUUUCUUUUUCAUUAGCUGGACUUUCACUUUGUUAAUUUCAAAUUUUUGUAGCACUUUGUCAUCUGCUUUAGAAGUUAAAAUAAAGGUAGCAAGAUCUUUACAAUAUUUUAAUUUAGAAGACCUAAAUCUAACAAUUGAAAGGAAUCAGAAUAUAUUCUUGUGGUAACAAAUUUAAUUUAAAAAACUGAAUAGGCUAAGAAAGAAAACAAAGAUUUUCUUUGUUUCUUAAUUAUAUGUUAAUUUGUAUCUAAAUUAAAACAACCCUUUUCUAUGAUAUAUAUAAUAUUAUAGUUUUGUUGAUAAUAAUAUAGUAUAUUAUUUGGGUUAGCUCAAUUAAGGAAAGAGUAAAUGAAAUGAAUAUUUUAUAUUCAAACCAUAUACUUUUAUUAUUUAAAAAAUAGGCUUGGUUGAAUACAAGCUCUCUUUGCCCAUUUUGUUGUGCAGUAUAGAUUAAGUUGCAAUCUUGGAGGAAAAUAAAGUUGUCCUGAUUAAGGGUUGCACUAAUUACAAUUGGAAUUAACGUAUCAAAUGCCUUAUUGAAAGUUAAAAUAAAUAUAAUUAUAUUAAUUCAUGAAAAGACGAAAUUAGUUAUUAAAGUUAGUGAUGACUAAAGAUAAUUCAUUAUUUUGGUUGACUUUUUAACAACAAUUUGAUACUAAAAUGAUUUGGCUUUUAUUAUUGCACAUGGAACAGGUGCUGUUGUGGAAGUAACUUGCAAUGUCGGUGAAAAGAAGGUUAAGGCCUAUGGAAAAACCAAGAUCAAUGGAAAAUUCAGCAUCACGGUUGAAGGAUUUGACUAUGCCAAAUAUGGAGCCGAGGCAUGCAAGGCCAAGCUCCACGCUGCACCCACUGGUUCACCAUGCAACAUUCCCACCAGUCUACACGAGGGCAACACGGGUGCUGAGCUCAAGGUGAAGUCAAAGACCAAGUACGAGGUUGUGCUCAAGGCUAAGCCAUUUGCCUAUGCUCCAAAGACUCCUUACAAGGAGUGUGAAAAGCCGAAGCCAAAGCCGAAGCCUCCAACUCCUUACUACUAUACUUCUCCACCACCACCUACACCCGUUUAUAUCUAUAAAUCACCACCUCCUCCACCACCAACAUACGUCUACAAGUCACCACCACCUCCAUCCCACCCAUACAAGCCACCAACUGAGCCAUACAAACCACCACCAUACUACUACAAAUCUCCACCUCCACCAUCACCCUCCUACAUCUAUAAGUCACCACCCCCACCAACCCCCACUUACGUUUACAAAUCACCACCACCUCCAUCUCACCCAUACAAGCCACCAACUGAACCAUACAAACCACCACCAUACUACUACAAGUCCCCACCUCCACCAUCACCCACCUACGUCUACAAAUCACCACCACCUCCAUCUCACCCAUACAAGCCACCAACUGAGCCAUACAAACCACCACCAUACUACUACAAAUCUCCACCUCCACCAUCACCCACCUACGUCUACAAGUCACCACCCCCACCAACCCCUACUUACGUCUACAAAUCACCACCACCUCCAUCUCACCCAUACAAGCCACCAACUGAGCCACACAAACCACCACCAUACUACUACAAGUCACCACCUCCACCAUCGCCUACUUACAUCUACAAAUCACCACCACCUCCAUCUCACCCAUACAAGCCACCAACUGAGCCACACAAGCCACCACCAUACUACUACAAGUCACCACCUCCACCAUCGCCUACUUACAUCUACAAAUCACCACCACCUCCACCAUACUACUAUAAAUCCCCACCACCUCCAUCUCCAUCCCCACCUCCUCCAUACUAUUACGAGUCUCCACCACCACCAAAACACGAAGAAAAACCUCCAUACUACUACAAGUCUCCUCCACCUCCAUCUCCAUCCCCACCUCCUCCAUACUACUACAAGUCUCCACCACCUCCUCCACAUUACGUCUCACCACCAUACUAUUAUAAAUCUCCACCACCACCAUCGCCAUCUCCUCUUCCACCAUACUACUACAAAUCCCCGCCACCACCAGUCCAUUCUCCACCACCACCAUACUAUUACAAAUCUCCACCACCACCAUCGCCAUCUCCUCUUCCACCAUACUACUACAAAUCACCUCCACCUCCUUCACCCUCUCCCACACCCCCAUAUUAUUACAAGUCUCCACCACCACCAGUCCAUUCCCCUCCACCACCAUACUACUACAAAUCACCACCACCUCCAAUAAAGUCUCCAGCACCAGUCUACCACUACAACUCUCCUCCUCCACCAUCACCAUCUCCUCAUCCUCCAUAUUACUACAAAUCCCCACCACCUCCAUCUCCAUCACCAUUACCCCCAUAUUACUACAAAUCUCCUCCUCCACCGUCGCCAUCUCCUCUUCCACCCUAUUACUACAAAUCCCCACCACCACCAGUCCACUCUCCACCACCACCAUACUACUACAAGUCCCCACCACCACCAUCGCCAUCUCCUCUUCCACCAUACUACUACAAAUCCCCUCCACCUCCUUCACCCUCUCCUCCACCACCAUACUAUUACAAAUCACCACCACCUCCAGUAGAGGCUCCGGCACCAACCUAUCACUACAAAUCCCCACCACCACCAUACUACUACAACUCUCCCCCACCACCCCCAUAUUAUUACAAGUCCCCACCCCCACCUUCCCCAUCACCACCACCUCCCUACUACUACAAGUCUCCACCUCCACCUUCCCCGUCACCACCACAUCCUUACUAUUACAAAUCCCCACCUCCUCCCUCACCCUCACCCCUUCCCCCAUAUUACUACCACUCACCUCCCCCACCAGUGACAUCACCUCCACCUCCGGUCUACAUUUACGCUUCUCCUCCACCACCAACUCACUACUAGGCUCAGAAAGAUCAACCACAAAAUUACAUCGUUCAUGUAAGUAAUAGUUUAGUUAAACCUAUCAUUAUUAGUUAUCAUCCAACGAUUUAUUUCAUAUUCUAAUUACUUUUCUGCAUUUAAAUUUCAGGU
RNAcentral lists this long non-coding RNA (30667 nucleotides) under Theobroma cacao (cacao). RNAcentral's name for it is "long non-coding RNA (TCAC_LNC002702)". The record is from RNAcentral. Lineage: Eukaryota; Viridiplantae; Streptophyta; Magnoliopsida; Malvales; Malvaceae.